GCAUAUCAAUAAGCGGAGGAAAAAGAAACUAACAAGGAUUCCCCUAGUAACUGCGAGUGAAGCGGGAAAAGCUCAAAUUUAAAAUCUGGCGGUCUUUGGCCGUUCGAGUUGUAAUCUAGAGAAGUGUUACCCGCGUCGGACCGUGUACAAGUCUCCUGGAAUGGAGCGUCAUAGAGGGUGAGAAUCCCGUCUUUGACACGGACUACCGAGGCUUUGUGGUGCGCUCUCAAAGAGUCGAGUUGUUUGGGAAUGCAGCUCAAAAUGGGUGGUAAAUUCCAUCUAAAGCUAAAUAUUGGCGAGAGACCGAUAGCGAACAAGUACCGUGAGGGAAAGAUGAAAAGAACUUUGGAAAGAGAGUUAAACAGUACGUGAAAUUGCUGAAAGGGAAACGCUUGAAGUCAGUCGCGUUGUCCGGGAAUCAGCCUUCCUUCUGGUUGGUGUACUUCCUGGUUGACGGGCCAGCAUCAGUUUUGACCGGUGGAAAAAGUUCGAGGGAAUGUGGCACCUCCGGGUGUGUUAUAGCCCUCGUUCGUAUACAUCGGUUGGGACUGAGGAACUCAGCACGCCGCAAGGCCGGGAUUCGUCCACGUUCGUGCUUAGGAUGCUGGCAUAAUGGCUUUAAUCGACCCGUCUUGAAACACGGACCAAGGAGUCUAACAUGCCUGCGAGUGUUUGGGUGGAAAACCCGAGCGCGUAAUGAAAGUGAAAGUUGAGAUCCCUGUCAUGGGGAGCAUCGACGCCCGGACCUGACGUUCUCUGACGGUUCUGCGGUAGAGCAUGUAUGUUGGGACCCGAAAGAUGGUGAACUAUGCCUGAAUAGGGUGAAGCCAGAGGAAACUCUGGUGGAGGCUCGUAGCGAUUCUGACGUGCAAAUCGAUCGUCAAAUUUGGGUAUAGGGGCGAAAGACUAAUCRACCAUCUAGUAGCUCGUUUCUGCCGAG
Molecule: ribosomal RNA, 940 nt
Filed under: Coprinellus radians
Lineage: Eukaryota; Fungi; Basidiomycota; Agaricomycetes; Agaricales; Psathyrellaceae
Description: LSU rRNA
Rfam family: Eukaryotic large subunit ribosomal RNA
Source: RNAcentral